RNAcentral lists this ribosomal RNA (548 nucleotides) under Aspergillus flavus. Its description in RNAcentral is "eukaryotic LSU rRNA". The stretch from base 180 to 333 matches the Rfam family "5.8S ribosomal RNA". The record is from RNAcentral. Lineage: Eukaryota; Fungi; Ascomycota; Eurotiomycetes; Eurotiales; Aspergillaceae.
AGUGUAGGGUUCCUAGCGAGCCCAACCUCCCACCCGUGUUUACUGUACCUUAGUUGCUUCGGCGGGCCCGCCAUUCAUGGCCGCCGGGGGCUCUCAGCCCCGGGCCCGCGCCCGCCGGAGACACCACGAACYCUGUCUGAUCUAGUGAAGYCUGAGUUGAUUGUAUCGCAAUCAGUUAAAACUUUCAACAAUGGAUCUCUUGGUUCCGGCAUCGAUGAAGAACGCAGCGAAAUGCGAUAACUAGUGUGAAUUGCAGAAUUCCGUGAAUCAUCGAGUCUUUGAACGCACAUUGCGCCCCCUGGUAUUCCGGGGGGCAUGCCUGUCCGAGCGUCAUUGCUGCCCAUCAAGCACGGCUUGUGUGUUGGGUCGUCGUCCCCUCUCCGGGGGGGACGGGCCCCAAAGGCAGCGGCGGCACCGCGUCCGAUCCUCGAGCGUAUGGGGCUUUGUCACCCGCUCUGUAGGCCCGGCCGGCGCUUGCCGAACGCAAAUCAAUCUUUUUCCAGGUUGACCUCGGAUCAGGUAGGGAUACCCGCUGAACUUAAGCAUAU